RNAcentral lists this ribosomal RNA (916 nucleotides) under Staphylococcus aureus. RNAcentral describes it as "partial 23S ribosomal RNA". It matches the Rfam family "Bacterial large subunit ribosomal RNA", at positions 12 to 925 of the family's 2925-position model. Lineage: Bacteria; Bacillati; Bacillota; Bacilli; Caryophanales; Staphylococcaceae. The record is from RNAcentral.
UAAGGGCGCACGGUGGAUGCCUUGGCACUAGAAGCCGAUGAAGGACGUUACUAACGACGAUAUGCUUUGGGGAGCUGUAAGUAAGCUUUGAUCCAGAGAUUUCCGAAUGGGGAAACCCAGCAUGAGUUAUGUCAUGUUAUCGAUAUGUGAAUACAUAGCAUAUCAGAAGGCACACCCGGAGAACUGAAACAUCUUAGUACCCGGAGGAAGAGAAAGAAAAUUCGAUUCCCUUAGUAGCGGCGAGCGAAACGGGAAGAGCCCAAACCAACAAGCUUGCUUGUUGGGGUUGUAGGACACUCUAUACGGAGUUACAAAGGACGACAUUAGACGAAUCAUCUGGAAAGAUGAAUCAAAGAAGGUAAUAAUCCUGUAGUCGAAAAUGUUGUCUCUCUUGAGUGGAUCCUGAGUACGACGGAGCACGUGAAAUUCCGUCGGAAUCUGGGAGGACCAUCUCCUAAGGCUAAAUACUCUCUAGUGACCGAUAGUGAACCAGUACCGUGAGGGAAAGGUGAAAAGCACCCCGGAAGGGGAGUGAAAUAGAACCUGAAACCGUGUGCUUACAAGUAGUCAGAGCCCGUUAAUGGGUGAUGGCGUGCCUUUUGUAGAAUGAACCGGCGAGUUACGAUUUGAUGCAAGGUUAAGCAGUAAAUGUGGAGCCGUAGCGAAAGCGAGUCUGAAUAGGGCGUUUAGUAUUUGGUCGUAGACCCGAAACCAGGUGAUCUACCCUUGGUCAGGUUGAAGUUCAGGUAACACUGAAUGGAGGACCGAACCGACUUACGUUGAAAAGUGAGCGGAUGAACUGAGGGUAGCGGAGAAAUUCCAAUCGAACCUGGAGAUAGCUGGUUCUCUCCGAAAUAGCUUUAGGGCUAGCCUCAAGUGAUGAUUAUUGGAGGUAGAGCACUGUUUGGACGAGGGG